Bombina bombina (fire-bellied toad) is the source of this 1984-nucleotide long non-coding RNA. RefSeq lists it as uncharacterized. The transcript has 2 exons. NCBI's taxonomy places the organism in Eukaryota, Metazoa, Chordata, Amphibia, Anura, Bombinatoridae. The record is from RefSeq and is a predicted model, not a curated record.
AGGUUUCCAUGAAGAAUAUCAGCUUCCAUAUUAUGAUCUUGUACCUUCAGACCCUUCAAUUGAAGAGAUGAGAAAAGUUGUUUGUGACCAGAAAUUACGGCCUAACAUACCUAACUGGUGGCAAAGUUAUGAGGCUCUUCGAGUCAUGGGGAAGAUGAUGCGAGAGUGCUGGUACGCUAAUGGAGCAGCUCGUUUGACAGCACUACGUAUUAAAAAAACAUUGUCACAGCUCAGCAUACAGGAAGAUGUGAAAAUCUGAAAACACAAGCAACCCCUGAGAAAAUGUGGAAAUAAUUCAUACAAGCUGCCAUGAUGUAGUACAUAUGAGGCCUACCUCAAUGUUUCAUCCCAAACAACUGCCAGUUGAACAAUGGGGCCUUUUUGGCCAAAUGAAAGUGAACAGCACACUACACAUUUAAUUCUAGGUUUGGGUAUGAAACUAAAAACCUUUAUUUCUAUUUCUUUGCCCCCUAAGAGCAUGAAGAUAUGGAAUCAACUUCAGGUAAUUACCAUAUUGCCUGAUUUUCGUUUUUUUCUAAACGAAAUUCUUACAGUGGCAUCUCUUUCAUCAGUGUAGGGUAAAAUCCACUUCAUCAUACUUGUUUGUCCAAAAUGGUUAGGGGUAUUGACCAGUGCAGCAGACCAUGCUCAUUUUCUUAACUGGUUCAGAUUCUAGUGAGCAAGCUGAGGUUUUUUUUGGACACUACCCUAAUCAAAGACAAGGAGCCCCCCCCCCCCCCUUUCCAGGAACUGUGAAAUCACUGUUCAGGCUUCACGAUAAAUCAUACUGGAGCUUGAGGAGAAACACCACAGUCCACGUAGACCCACUUCCAUGCAUGUGCAAGGGUGUGUGUAGCUUUUUUGACCUGUGUUUUGUAGGUGCACACGUGUACAUGUGAGCUUGUCUGCAUGCGCAAAUAUUAAGCUCCCCUUUUUGAGGUGUCAGUAUGUUGGUCACCUUUGUGACACUUCAUGUAAAAAUCGCGUACAGGGCCGCUUGUCACCUAGUUUUUUACAAAAUCCAACUUCACCAUACAACACCAUCUGCUUUCCAGAAGGAGGAGAUUCGUGCUGAUGAAAUCUUUUGGCAAUAGAAAUAUUUCAAUAAAAGACCCUCAGCUUGCGCUGUCCCAGAGGAUAUAAGAAGCGAGGACAACCUGCAAAAAUCCAUCAUCAUUUGUAAAUGAAUCUCAGGUGUCAAGCAUUUGCCAACAGCAGGGAUUUUAGAUGUUUGUGCUCAUUAAAUAAACAGUGGCAUGGGACUACAUGGCUUCUUCCAGCCUGCCCCCUGUAAGAUCUCUUCAUGCUUCAGAAAUGCUGUACAGAUAUCAUUUGGUGCAGAUUGGUAACUCUCACAUGAGCCUUAUCUGAACACCACUUAAACCAGGGCCUGACAAAGGUGGGAAAGAAGCAGGGUUUGUAUUUAAGUGACGUCACAUCGCAUUUUAUUACAGGAUCUUAGUUUGAUGGGAGAAUUUUGGUUCAGCAUCUAUAGUACAAUAACUCUAAAGCCAUAACUUUUAACUGGAGUGAUUUUUGUUUUUAUAUUUUAAGUUUUGGGGGGAGAGCAGGGAUUUUAACUUUUUUUAUUAAAUAUUUUAAUUCUUUGUAAAAAAGAAAAACAAAAAACAGAUAUCUCUCUAUAUAUAGAUAUAUACACACAUACGUAAAUAUAAAUAUUACCUCUCAGCCUAUUGUUUGUAUAGAAAUCACUACAGAAAAACCAAAUGCGCCAAGCUAUAUUUACACUGGAACUAUUUGUACUUAUACCUGGAAUUUUCUUCUAGAGGCUGGAAUGAAUCUAUACUUACGGUUACAUGUCACAUUUUUAUAAUACCAUGUUCUCAUUGUCUUCAGGUGUACACCAUUUUCUGUGUGUAUCCUUCAGGGGUUUUAGUGACGUGUCCAAAGUGAUUAUAUAUAAAUAUUUUUUCUGCUUUCUGUGCAGAACUGUUAAAUAAACUCCCAUUUAUCUUGCCUGGUG